Molecule: non-coding RNA, 103 nt
Organism: Podospora conica
Lineage: Eukaryota; Fungi; Ascomycota; Sordariomycetes; Sordariales; Podosporaceae
Source: the annotation of a GenBank genome assembly
GGGGGAGUAGCUCAGGGGUAAGAGCGCAGCGAACUUGCAUUUACAACCUAAAUGUCUCCAAUGCCGGUUCCUAAGGUCAUGGGUUCGAAUCCCAUCUCUCCUA